Long non-coding RNA from Cyprinus carpio (common carp), 375 nucleotides. NCBI's taxonomy places the organism in Eukaryota, Metazoa, Chordata, Actinopteri, Cypriniformes, Cyprinidae. The record is from Ensembl.
GGACCAUGAAGCUUCACGUCCAUAUUCACUUGUGGUCUGCAAGUAGCACUGCCCAGACUCCAAGUCCUUUUGCCCCGAAAACCGCAUCUGACCACCAGGACCUUAGGGAAACCACGGCCUGAUGGAGGUAUAAAGAGAGAGAGAUGGAGAGAGACGGAGAGGCUUUGGCCCCACAGCAGCCGAUGGUGGUAUUAAAAUAUUAAUUGCUUUUUGACAUUAUUUGGUUGCGGGUGGGUCGGAGAGCACUUGUUUUACACUGAAGGCCACACACUAAAACACACUUCAUUCUGCCUCUACCUAAAUACAGCGCUGAGUCUAAUAUGUGAAAUGCUACAAAGGACUGUAAUGGAAUAAAUAUGCUAGACUCAAUUUCCA